GAGUUUGAUCCUGGCUCAGAUUGAACGCUGGCGGCAGGCCUAACACAUGCAAGUCGAGCGGUAGAGAGAAGCUUGCUUCUCUUGAGAGCGGCGGACGGGUGAGUAAUGCCUAGGAAUCUGCCUGGUAGUGGGGGAUAACGCUCGGAAACGGACGCUAAUACCGCAUACGUCCUACGGGAGAAAGCAGGGGACCUUCGGGCCUUGCGCUAUCAGAUGAGCCUGGGUCGGAUUAGCUAGUUGGUGAGGUAAUGGCUCACCAAGGCGACGAUCCGUAACUGGUCUGAGAGGAUGAUCAGUCACACUAGAACUGAGACACGGUCCAGACUCUACGGGAGGCAGCAGUGGGGAAUAUUGGACAAUGGGCGAAAGCCUGAUCCAGCCAUGCCGCGUGUGUGAAGAAGGUCUUCGGAUUGUAAAGCACUUUAAGUUGGGAGGAAGGGCAGUAAAUUAAUACUUUUGCCGUUUUGACGUUACCGACAGAAUAAGCACCGGCUAACUCUGUGCCAGCCGCCGACCG
RNAcentral lists this ribosomal RNA (517 nucleotides) under uncultured bacterium. RNAcentral describes it as "bacterial SSU rRNA". It matches the Rfam family "Bacterial small subunit ribosomal RNA", at positions 9 to 520 of the family's 1533-position model. The record is from RNAcentral.